This 372-nucleotide ribosomal RNA is filed under the name uncultured organism. RNAcentral describes it as "bacterial SSU rRNA". It matches the Rfam family "Bacterial small subunit ribosomal RNA", at positions 526 to 896 of the family's 1533-position model. The record is from RNAcentral.
CGAACCGUACGAACGUUAUUCGGAAUCACUGGGCUUAAAGGGUGCGUAGGCGGCGCAGUAAGUUGGGUGUGAAAUCCCUCGGCUUAACCGAGGAAUUGCGCCCAAAACUACUGUGCUCGAGGGAGGUAGAGGUGAGCGGAACUUAGGGUGGAGCGGUGAAAUGCGUUGAUAUCCUAAGGAACACCGGUGGCGAAAGCGGCUCACUGGACCUCUUCUGACGCUGAGGCACGAAAGCUAGGGUAGCAAACGGGAUUAGAUACCCCGGUAGUCCUAGCCGUAAACGAUGAGCACUGGAUCGAAGGGUCCUCCAUAGCCUUUCGGUCGCAGCGAAAGUGUUAAGUGCUCCGCCUGGGGAGUAUGGUCGCAAGGCUG